GCAGGCCAAACUUGCUAAGCUCUACGAAGGGACCUUCUUGCACCACCUACCUUGCCAAAGGUGGUGGUGGUGGAGAAGGUUUUGAUGUGACCAAAAGUGUUAGAUUCUAGAGUUGGACUUGUUGGGUUGGAAAAUCCACGCUCGUGAACAAGCUGACAGGAAGAUUUUCCGAGGUUGCUUCUUAUGAGUUCACAACAAUUGACCUGCAUUCCCGGAGUUAUUACAUACCGUGGAGCUAAAAUCCCAGUUAUUAAAUCUUCCUGGUAUUAUUAAGGACGGAAAAAGGGUAGAGGAAGACAAGUU
Molecule: long non-coding RNA, 303 nt
Organism: Brassica oleracea var. oleracea
Lineage: Eukaryota; Viridiplantae; Streptophyta; Magnoliopsida; Brassicales; Brassicaceae
Exons: 3
Source: RefSeq, a predicted model, not a curated record